AAGUCAAAAGUCUAGGUCAGUGAUCAAUGCUGGGGGUGAAAAUAAAAGUGGGUUCCAGAGAGAGAGAGAAGAAAGGAAAGAGAAUGAUAGCGAUCCGAUUCCGAUUCAGUGUAACAGAUACUGGUAUUGACUGCCAAAAAUAGGUGGAUGGUUGAAAUGCGUCCAGUUUAUUAGAAGUUUAAAAGGAGAGAAUGUUCCGGCAUAACUAGACAGUCACAGAUUCCUUAAAUAAGCCAACAUGUGAGAUAAAUGGUUGAAGCAAUGAAAAGAGGGAAAGGAUGGACCCCUGAUGGGUAUGACUUUGUGGACAGCACACAUUUUAUUGAUGCAAACUUUGAUGAUAUAAUGAAAAAUCUGAAACCCUCAGCUAUUCCUACAAUAUUUCAGUGUCAUAAUGAUGCAGCUUCCUGGCCAGUUAAAAAGAAGGAAAAAUAAAGUCUUAAGGUGAAAGAAGAAAUUGUACAAUUCAAAGAGACUUCUGAUAUAUUAUAAAAAGAAAGUUCAAUGUUUAUGAGAGGAGUUAUAGAAAAGCCAACCUCACCUAAAACAGUUAUGAUGAUUUAUCUUUACAUCUGUUUGAGGAGCCUACAGGAAAUGCAAAUUAUACAGAUGAAAAAAUAUCCUUCACAAUAACAUUGCACUUUUACUGUCCUAAUGUGUAUGAGUUCCUUUCUACCACGUUUAACUUGCCUUCAACCAGAAAAGAUGUUGGCAAGUUUACCUUCAUCUAUUUCAGUCAUGAUUGCCUUUAUAUGUGGACAAAUAAGCCUAUACAGUAUUUCCAAGAAUGAGAACUUUGCAGGGUAGAGUCAUUUGACUUACAAGCCUCUUAGAGACCACUGGGACAUUGUUCUGGGCUGCCUUUGGUAUGGGGAACUCUCAGGCACCAGCUAUUAAAGAAGAAACAAAUAGCAGUCAGGUUAAUGGUGACUCAGAGAUAACAGAAAGUGUGCUGCUGAAAGUCAUUGUGGUGGUUGGCUACGUUUUGUAUGGAGUUUACAUUCUUGAUGCUGUCGUGGUCCUGAUCAACUUGUUCAUUGCUAUGAUGAAUUUGAAGACAUUUAGAAUGUCCAAAAGAUUAGUCAGCUAAGGAGCCUAAAAUGUUAGCCUGUUUACAAAUAUGAGAUCUUCCUUGACUACACAAGUACCUUACAAAAGAAGGCUACUCACUUGUGUUUGGAUAUGUCAGCUGUUUUGUCCCUGUGGCCCUUUUCAAGCAUGACAGAUACUAUUCUAAUCAGCUUUUUUCUCUGGAAAUUUUUCAACCACGGAAGCUAUGAGGGAUAUCUGAAAUCCAUUGCUUACUUGUCUAGAAAGACUUCCAUCGAUUGAGUGAUAAAAGAUUAAGUUUACACAACUUUUAGUAGUCACCACAUAACACUUAACAUUUUGAUGCUCAAGACAAUACUGUUCAUGAAUGGUUUAUUUUUCUUUAUGCUGAGAGUGUCCAAGAAAGAUAAGGUCAAAGGUUAAUUGGACAAACAAUAAACUUUGUCUUUGAAUCUGAAAUUGUAGAGAGAAAAAACAACAACUUAGUGUUGUUGUUAAUUUACCAGGUACCUACUAUUCAUUUACUUUGACUGUUGACUUUAAGUUAGAAAUUAAGGAAAGAUUUCUUUGAGCUAUAUUUGUCAAUGACCAUAGGCAUUAAGAGAGUUGACACCUCAUUUUACUUUUCAACAAGAUGAUGUCUUAAAAAAAUUAAGAGCUUUUGAUGGAAUUCUGUGGUUGAAUAACAUAAGUAAAGUUAAUCACAGGAUUCCAUCAAAAUCAUUGCAGUUUGAACAUUGUUGGUAGUGUCAAUGUUAUUAAGUUUUUUAGUUCUUGGUGUUACUACUUUAUUCAUUUUCUAGUGACCAGGCAGUGUUUUAUACCAUGAAUGAAUAUCUGUUGUAAGAGGUUUAAGGUAUACAACUCAAUCAAUAAUAUCUUUGACAAUAAAAUAUUUUGAUCAAGUUUAUAUUUUUGGAACAGAAUAUGCUAAUGUGUUAAAUGUACAUUUUUCUUUUUUUUUUUUGAAUAACAACUGAUAUUUAGUUUUAUCCCUUUGUAUCUUUCUACAGUAGAUGCAGUGUCAUACUAAAUAGAAAUUUUAAAAAAUUAUAAUAACUUCUAAUCAAAAAUCAAAUUAAAAUCAAAUAUCUAAAUGAAUCAUGCUACUUUGAUUCUACACAAUCUACAGGACUACCAAUGUACAUUAGUUUUGAACAAAAAGUUGCUAACUUUAAAUAAUUGAUUAACUCAUUUUGAUAUUUAUGUAUACCUUGUAAUAAAAGUGACAUUAAUUUUACAAUUUC
This is a long non-coding RNA of Biomphalaria glabrata, 2297 nucleotides long. RefSeq lists it as uncharacterized. The record is from RefSeq and is a predicted model, not a curated record. The transcript has 8 exons. NCBI's taxonomy places the organism in Eukaryota, Metazoa, Mollusca, Gastropoda, Planorbidae.